GCUCCCAUAGCUCAGUUGGCAGAGCGCAUCCAUGGUAAGGAUGAGGUCACCAGUUCGAGCCUGGUUGGGAGCU
Non-coding RNA from Kyrpidia tusciae DSM 2912, 73 nucleotides. NCBI's taxonomy places the organism in Bacteria, Bacillati, Bacillota, Bacilli, Caryophanales, Alicyclobacillaceae. The record is from Rfam.